Long non-coding RNA from Papaver somniferum (opium poppy), 443 nucleotides. RefSeq lists it as uncharacterized. Lineage: Eukaryota; Viridiplantae; Streptophyta; Magnoliopsida; Ranunculales; Papaveraceae. The record is from RefSeq and is a predicted model, not a curated record. The transcript is spliced from 3 exons.
UGGACUUCAAGUUGAUAAAAUUCUUUUGUUAGCUUUGAAAAUCGAAACAAUGGCGGCUGAAUGAUUCCAGUAUAGAACAUGAUAUACACAAUCUCGGAGGUUCAAUUGGACUCACCAUUGAGAUAAGUAAGCUUUCGGAAGGUUUUGGAACGGCAGUGGCGGAACUUCAGGAACAAGAAAACUAAAUGGAAAAGACAUCACUAUUCAACCGCGAUACAAAGGAAAAGCAUCUUGCAGAUAAACCCAACCUGUGUUAAUUGGCAGGGAGUGGAAGGAUCUUGUGAAAUUUCCGACUGCUGAAGAGCAUCAGUUAUCUUCACUUAGUAAUUUUCUUCUUUACAUUCAUGUCCAAUGUAUUCUGACUUGCGACCGCAAUAUCAAAAGCAGAAGCCAUCAAAAAGCAAGGGCACUAUGGGGAGGAAAAACUUUUCUCAAUGUGGAUC